This 532-nucleotide ribosomal RNA is filed under the name Cryptosporidium parvum. Its description in RNAcentral is "SSU rRNA". It matches the Rfam family "Eukaryotic small subunit ribosomal RNA", at positions 468 to 1028 of the family's 1831-position model. Lineage: Eukaryota; Apicomplexa; Conoidasida; Eucoccidiorida; Cryptosporidiidae. The record is from RNAcentral.
UGACAAGAAAUAACAAUACAGGACUUUUUGGUUUUGUAAUUGGAAUGAGUUAAGUAUAAACCCCUUUACAAGUAUCAAUUGGAGGGCAAGUCUGGUGCCAGCAGCCGCGGUAAUUCCAGCUCCAAUAGCGUAUAUUAAAGUUGUUGCAGUUAAAAAGCUCGUAGUUGGAUUUCUGUUAAUAAUUUAUAUAAAAUAUUUUGAUGAAUAUUUAUAUAAUAUUAACAUAAUUCAUAUUACUAUAUAUUUUAGUAUAUGAAAUUUUACUUUGAGAAAAUUAGAGUGCUUAAAGCAGGCAUAUGCCUUGAAUACUCCAGCAUGGAAUAAUAUUAAAGAUUUUUAUCUUUCUUAUUGGUUCUAAGAUAAGAAUAAUGAUUAAUAGGGACAGUUGGGGGCAUUUGUAUUUAACAGUCAGAGGUGAAAUUCUUAGAUUUGUUAAAGACAAACUAAUGCGAAAGCAUUUGCCAAGGAUGUUUUCAUUAAUCAAGAACGAAAGUUAGGGGAUCGAAGACGAUCAGAUACCGUCGUAGUCUAA